UAGUCCACGCCGUAAACGAUGAGUGCUAGAUAUCGGGAAUUUAUUUUUCGGUUUCGCAGCUAACGCAUUAAGCACUCCGCCUGGGGACUACGAUCGCAAGAUUAAAACUCAAAGGAAUUGACGGGGGCUCGCACAAGUGGUGGAGCAUGCGGUUUAAUUCGAUGCUACGCGAAAAACCUUACCAACCCUUGACAUGGUAGUCGCGAAUUUCAGAGAUGAAGUUCUUCAGUUCGGCUGGACUACACACAGGUGUUGCAUGGCUGUCGUCAGCUCGUGUCGUGAGAUGUUGGGUUAAGUCCCAUAACGAGCGCAACCCCUACUUCUAGUUGCCAGCGGAUAAUGCCGGGGACUCUAGAGGAACUGCCCGUGCAAACGGAGAGGAAGGUGGGGAUGACGUCAAAUCAUCACGGCCCUUACAUCUUGGGCUACACACGUGCUACAAUGGCAGGUACAAAGGGCAGCUACACAGCGACGUGAUGCUAAUCUCGAAAGCCUGU
This 497-nucleotide ribosomal RNA is filed under the name uncultured bacterium. RNAcentral describes it as "bacterial SSU rRNA". It matches the Rfam family "Bacterial small subunit ribosomal RNA", at positions 791 to 1286 of the family's 1533-position model. The record is from RNAcentral.